UCUGAUUGUCUCCAGAUGUACGUGUAUGCAACUGCUCGGGUGUUCUAUAUUCUGAUCUUUUGCCUAUCUUGAAAUGGCUCUUUUUAGAUCAAGGAUCAAGUGGAAUUGAUGUGCUCCCAUCUUAAUGAAUUAUUUGUCCCCUGUGUGGCACCUGUCAAGGCCAUGUCAAAUAUUUUUUAAAUUACUAGAAGCGUACAUGCGUGAUGCGGCGGUGUUCUGGUUGCGGCAGUGGUGACGGUGACGGGUAUGGUGGCGUGCAGCCAUGGCGAUGUACCGACGUCGGUGGCGAUUGGAGGUGGCGGCAGUGACAUCGGUGAUUGGUUCAAUUCAUACUCUUGGUGGUAACAAAGGCGAUUGGUGAUGACGGCGGCGAUGGUGAUAGACGACGAUUGGCUAGCUUCUUUUUUGCAAUCACUCGCAGCAAGACAAAAGUAGCAUAUCAUGGUAGAUCAUAUCCACUCAGAACUUGUGACAAAGACUUGGUGUGGCGGUUUCAGCAAAUCGGUACAAUUAUUCUUUGCUUUACCUUGUUUAAAAAAAUGCAUUGAGAAAGGGCAGACGUAUAAAACUUUUCAGACAGUGCUUACUACUUAUUCAACUCUCUCAAGAUGAAAUCUAUUCCAAUGGUUCCUUAUUUCGACGGCGUACAUAUAUAUAAACCUUUUAUUUUCUAGAUAUUUUUUUAGGCCUAUUGUCAAUACGAAGUAGCAGUUUUGGUAAACUAGAGGAGUUGAUAAAUAUUUAAACUAAACAGAGAAGGUAUCUUGGAGUUAAAUUCUUAAAAUGGGUUAAUGCUUUUAAUAAAGUACACGUAGUUAAAUUAGAGAUAAAAAAAAUAUAGAUAUAGCAAAUAUCGAUUAAAACAGUGUCUAGGUAAAACGUGCACAAAUGUGAUUUCCUUGGAAACUACACCCUUUGAGUUCAUAAUUCCAUAUAUAUAUUUUAGCUUAAUAAUGAGUAUUAUGUUUUAACGUUUGACUUGAUAUAUGAUAAAGUCGAAGAUUUAUAUAGAUUUAGGUUCUUGCCUUGGAUGCGUCUAAAUACAAAGAAAGUUGCUCGUUUAGUCGUUUAUGUGAUCUUCAAUGUCUUUUGAUUCGGUAAUUGUCCCUAUUUCUCAUAUGAUAAUUUAUUAUAUGAUGGAGAUAACUAACUUUAUUUCCUGAUCUUUUACUAUUACGAGUGCAUAUAUAUUCAUGAAAACUGAUUAAAAGCUACUUUGGUCUAUUUAAUUAAUUAAAAGCUACUUCUUGACUAUCUCUAUAUAUGCAAUAUUUUGAAGAAGAGUUAGUACUUUGAUCUUGUGAGGUUUAAAAGAGCAAGAUUGAGGGGAAAGGAUAGGAAGAAAAAAACAAGGAAAAGGAAGCCCUUUGACAUCGUUUUGUAAUUCUUAGUAAAGAUGGGAUAAUGCCACAGAAAGCUAAGAAGGUAAAGCAAAAUUAAAAGCUACUUUGGUCUAUUUAAGAACGGUUCCAGCUGGAAACAACUUUGCAACUCCGGUUGGGAUCAAUCCAACAUUUUCAGACACAAGCAACUACGUGGAAGAGUUAAGUUAAACAAUAACCUCCUGUUUAAUUAGCAUUUAUAUGCAUACAGCUUCUUAUGUAACUAAUUUCAGUCCUCAAAAGCUAUCAUCAAAGUCAGAAGCAAUCAGCAUGAAUUACGGAACUUCUUCCUAAGAACACUCAUGAAAUUUGAAACAAUUCACAUCAGAAGCUAAAAGAAGGCAUAAAUAGCGGAAUACCAACAUAUUUUGAAACAAAACACAACUGCUGGAGGAAAUAGAGUUUACUUUUGUAAUUGUUAACUUCUUGUGUUGUAAUUACAAGACUGUGAAUAGAGUACAAGGCUACACUUUAUAACUAUCAUCAAACAAAACUUAUAACUCAGUAAUGUGGUAAUUUGGGUAGAUUAAUCACUGACUAAAUAAAACUUAUGAUUUGGAAUCUAAAACGAAGUCGACUUACACCAUGUUCAUUCUUUGUUAAAAUGUUAAAAUCCAUAGCGAAGCGCAAUAGACCACCUAGCUAGUUAUAUAUAACAAAAUUUUCUGUCAGAAGUGUGACUUAGUGAAUUGACCAGUAGUUGCUAAAUU
Long non-coding RNA from Erigeron canadensis, 2092 nucleotides. RefSeq lists it as uncharacterized. Lineage: Eukaryota; Viridiplantae; Streptophyta; Magnoliopsida; Asterales; Asteraceae. The record is from RefSeq and is a predicted model, not a curated record. The transcript is spliced from 3 exons.